UUCCAGACUCCUACGGGAGGCAGCAGUGGGGAAUAUUGGACAAUGGGGGGAACCCUGAUCCAGCGACGCCGCGUGAGUGAAGAAGUAUUUCGGUAUGUAAAGCUCUAUCAGCAGGGAAGAAAGAAAUGACGGUACCUGACUAAGAAGCCCCGGCUAACUACGUGCCAGCAGCCGCGGUAAUACGUAGGGGGCAAGCGUUAUCCGGAUUUACUGGGUGUAAAGGGAGCGUAGACGGCGAUGCAAGUCUGAAGUGAAAGGCGGGGGCCCAACCCCCGGACUGCUUUGGAAACUGUAUGGCUGGAGUGCAGGAGAGGUAAGUGGAAUUCCUAGUGUAGCGGUGAAAUGCGUAGAUAUUAGGAGGAACACCAGUGGCGAAGGCGGCCUGCUGGACGACAACUGACGGUGAGGCGCGAAAGCGUGGGGAGCAAACAGGAUUAGAUACCCGUGUACCU
RNAcentral lists this ribosomal RNA (452 nucleotides) under uncultured bacterium. RNAcentral describes it as "partial 16S ribosomal RNA". It matches the Rfam family "Bacterial small subunit ribosomal RNA", at positions 329 to 795 of the family's 1533-position model. The record is from RNAcentral.